CUCCCGAGAGAACAAAAAAGGAAGUAAAUAAACAAAAGGAAAACUUCCACCCGGACGCGUCGAAGACACUCUCCCCACAGCCACAUCUCCUCUGCCCCCUCCCGCGACCUAGGGUUAGCCGCCGACGAUGACGACUUUGUCGGUGAGCUCCGGCAGCCAUGGCCGGCGUGCAGGACGUUGCUGAGCUCACGUAGCCAUGCUGCGUUGAUCCCUCUGCCCAGAUCCGUCCAUCACUGCCUACAAUACGCGUGCCCAAUCCACCCCCGCGGUUAGGGUUUGGGGUGCGACCACGUCUCCGCCACCUGCGUGCCUCUGGCGAGCUCCGACGGCCAUGGCCGGCACGCAGGAUGCUGCCGAGGUCACCUCGUCGUGCUGCGUUGAUCCAUCCAAGUAGAUCCGUCCCUCCAUGCCUCCAACACUCGCGCCCAAUCCAUCUGUGAUUAGGGUUUGGGGGCACGGCCUCGUCUCCGCCACUGGCGGUCUUCUACGUCGCUUGAUUUGGGAAGAAAAUUUCAUUUUCCCUUGUAUAAUUUCUGAUCUGAAUGGUUUGUUUUUAGGGGCAUCAGUUUGGUCCAUUCUGUGACCAAAGAAAAUGAGUAGAAGGGGAUGAGGAAGGAGUAGAAGGUGUAGAAGAACGAGAAAGACGAGAAACAGGCAAGGGAGGUGGGGCGAUCUGCAUGCCUAUGGAGAUCUGAAUGUUUCUUGUUUAAUCCUUUUUUAUGUUGCAUGCUCUCUGAAUUUAGAGUAGAUUGCUUUACAGCAUGUUGAAUAGAUUUGGGCCUGUUCAUUUUUCUAUGGUGACUAGGGUUUGACCAGAGAAAAGAGGAACGCUUUCUUAGAAAGAAAAUCUAUGGUGCAACCGUCGUCCAGGUCCAUCAAAUCAGCAGCAGCUUGGGUCUGUCAUCUCUCUCUGCUCAUCCUAUGUUGUGGUACAAAAGAAAUUCAGACUCAACACUUGUAGUAGGAGGUCUGAAGGUGCGCCUCAUGUUUAGCUAAAAAUAUUUAAGUGUGCAAUAUGCAUUAUUAGUGGAGGUAAAGCAUUGCUAACCAUGUGCAAUUACACAACUAUGAAUUCUCCUCUAGACACGUGAUUGAAAACCUACCAGCAUAGUAUAUUAUUCCAUGUCAAUCGGUAUUUGUCACCGACCACAUUAUUCACUUCAGUUCUGCAUGGUCAUGCACAAACAUACAUAAUAUAUUUCUGUAUAUGAACUGAACUUGUGCUUAGGUACAAAUUCAGAAAUCAACACUUGUAGUAGCACCAGGUCUGAAGGCGCAGCUCAUGUUUUUUGCUUAAAUAGUCAAGUGUGUGAUAUAUUAUUAGCUAUGCACAAAACGUCUUUUAAUAGUGUAAAGAGGGUGUAUAUGUUAUAUUACCAGUAGGUCAAUGUUUUUCUCCCCCUCCCCUGUUUUGUUCGAUUUGGUAUCCCUGAUGCAUAAGCGAUCAUGGCUUGGUUCCCUGAUGCACGAUCAUGGCUUGGUUCCCUCAUGCACUUUCUGAUGCGCGCAGGUGGCGGUGCAGGACACAGCCACCUUGUGAUUCUUCUUCCACUUUGAUGAAUCCGGUCGUUCUUCUUCCUCUCCGGCAUAUCUGGAGAGCAUAUCUACAGAAGAGAAAAAACUCGAUGGAAAUCAUGGUCAUUACAGGCCCAACGAACUUGUUACGCUCCAGGGGCACCAAGAGUUGGUUGUGUGGAAAGCUUGUUUUUUGCGUCUGUUCAUUUUUCUAAGAAAGGGUUCCUCUUUUCUCUUUACAACAGAUAAAAAUUGGUGACUUGCUUUCUAAGGAAGCGUUCCUUUUACUAUUCAUUUCACCACAGAUUUGGUAACACUUUUAGGCUGGUGCCAUUGAACAAGCUAUUAACUUUAUCCUAUACUUAGGAGGUGUUGCAUACUCUAUUUGGAGGAGUCUGAAGAAAAUGGUUGAUCUUGCUGCACAACCCAUCAUAUAAAUGAUGGAGACAUGGAGUAGGAGGACGAGCAGCAGUUGUAAA
Hordeum vulgare subsp. vulgare (domesticated barley) is the source of this 1994-nucleotide long non-coding RNA. RefSeq lists it as uncharacterized. The transcript is spliced from 4 exons. The record is from RefSeq and is a predicted model, not a curated record. NCBI's taxonomy places the organism in Eukaryota, Viridiplantae, Streptophyta, Magnoliopsida, Poales, Poaceae.